This 84-nucleotide transfer RNA is filed under the name Roseisolibacter agri. RNAcentral's name for it is "tRNA-Leu". It matches the Rfam family "tRNA". From Rfam's summary of the family: Transfer RNA (tRNA) molecules are approximately 80 nucleotides in length. Their secondary structure includes four short double-helical elements and three loops (D, anti-codon, and T loops). Further hydrogen bonds mediate the characteristic L-shaped molecular structure. tRNAs have two regions of fundamental functional importance: the anti-codon, which is responsible for specific mRNA codon recognition, and the 3' end, to which the tRNAs corresponding amino acid is attached (by aminoacyl-tRNA synthetases). tRNAs cope with the degeneracy of the genetic code in two manners: having more than one tRNA (with a specific anti-codon) for a particular amino acid; and 'wobble' base-pairing, i.e. permitting non-standard base-pairing at the 3rd anti-codon position. Lineage: Bacteria; Pseudomonadati; Gemmatimonadota; Gemmatimonadia; Gemmatimonadales; Gemmatimonadaceae. The record is from RNAcentral.
GCCUGGGUGGCGUAAUCGGUAGCCGCGGCGAGCUUAAACCUCGCUGACCUUCGGUCGUCCGGGUUCGAGUCCCGGCCCAGGCAC